CAUUUCUUUUUGUUUAUAAUAUAAAGUUAGGCCUGCUCAAUGAAAAUUUAAAUAGCUGCGGUAUUUUGACCGUACAAAGGUAGCAUAAUCAUUAGUUUUUUAAUUGAAAGCUAGAAUGAAUGGUUUAACGAGAAAAUAGCUGUCUAUAUUAAUUAUUAGAAUUUAAUUUUUAAGUUAAAAAGCUUAAAUUUUUUUAAAAGACGAGAAGACCCUAUAGAUCUUUAUAAUAAUUUAUUUAUAAAAUUUUUAUAUAUUUUUUGAAUAAAUUAUUAUUUUAUUGGGGUGAUAUAAAGAUUAAAUAAACUCUUUAGAUUUAAAUUAAUUAUUUUUAUUUUAUUUUGAUCCAUUAUAAUGAUUAUUAGAUUAAGUUACCUUAGGGAUAACAGCGUAAUUUUUUUGUAGAGUUCUUAUCGAUAAAAAAGAUUGCGACCUCGAUGUUGGAUUAAGAAAUGAUUUGGGGGCAAAUUUUCAAAUUCAAGGUCUGUUCGACCUUUAAAUUCUUACAUGAUCUGAGU
Molecule: ribosomal RNA, 515 nt
Filed under: Scirtidae sp. UPOL RK0161
Lineage: Eukaryota; Metazoa; Arthropoda; Insecta; Coleoptera; Scirtidae
Description: partial 16S ribosomal RNA
Rfam family: Bacterial large subunit ribosomal RNA
Source: RNAcentral